Molecule: ribosomal RNA, 763 nt
Filed under: uncultured Glomeromycotina
Lineage: Eukaryota; Fungi; Glomeromycota
Description: SSU rRNA
Rfam family: Eukaryotic small subunit ribosomal RNA
Source: RNAcentral
GGCCUACCAUGGUGGUAACGGGUAAGGGGUGUUAGGGCACGACACCGGAGAGGGAGCCUGAGAAACGGCUACCACAUCCAAGGAAGGCAGCAGGCGCGCAAAUUACCCAAUCCCGACAUGGGGAGGUAGUGACAAUAAAUAACAAUACAGGGUUCUUUUGGAUCUCGUAAUUGGAAUGAGUACAAUUUAAAUCUCUUAACGAGGAACAAUUGGAGGGCAAGUCUGGUGCCAGCAGCCGCGGUAAUUCCAGCUCCAAUAGCGUAUAUUAAAGUUGUUGCAGUUAAAAAGCUCGUAGUUGAACUUCGGGAUCAAUUAGUUGGUCAUGCCUUGGUAUGUACUGAUUUUAUUGGUUCCCACCUUCUAAAGAACUAUAAUGUCAUUUAUUUGAUGUUAUGGGGAAUUAGGACUGUUACCUUGAAAAAAUUAGAGUGUUUAAAGCAGGCUCACGCUUGAAUACAUUAGCAUGGAAUAAUGAAAUAGGACAUCNGAUUCUAUUUUGUUGGUUUCUAGGAUCGAUGUAAUGAUUAAUAGGGAUAGUUGGGGGCAUUAGUAUUCAAUUGUCAGAGGUGAAAUUCUUGGAUUUAUUGAAGACUAACUACUGCGAAAGCAUUUGCCAAGGAUGUUUUCAUUAAUCAAGAACGAAAGUUAGGGGAUCGAAGACGAUCAGAUACCGUCGUAGUCUUAACCAUAAACUAUGCCGACUAGGGAUCGGAUGAUGUUGAUUUUUUAAUGACUCAUUCGGCACCUUACGGGAAACCAAAGG